AAGAGAGGCUAUUACAGGCUCCAAGGUAGAGCCAGCCCAGUUGGGUCUAGGGGUGGGAACUGGGCACUGCAGUCAGCUCUGACCCUGGCCAGUUCCCCCAUCCCCACCCCCAGAUCUACCCAGACCCGGAGCUGGAAGUACAAGUAUUGGGCCUGCCUAUCCGCUGCAUCCACAGUGAGGAGGGCUGCCGCUGGAGUGGGCCACUACGUCAUCUACAGGUGAGGCUCUGAUGUGAGGGCUGGCACCACCUCUCCCUUGGCAGGCACUAAUUGCAGCCUUCCCACCAGGGCCACCUGAAUACCUGCAGCUUCAAUGUCAUUCCCUGCCCUAAUCGCUGCCCCAUGAAGCUGAGCCGCCGUGAUCUACCUGCACACUUGCAGCAUGACUGCCCCAAGCGGCGCCUCAAGUGCGAGUUUUGUGGCUGUGACUUCAGUGGGGAGGCCUAUGAGAGCCAUGAGGGUAUGUGCCCCCAGGAGAGUGUCUACUGUGAGAAUAAGUGUGGUGCCCGCAUGAUGCGGCGGCUGCUGGCCCAGCAUGCCACCUCUGAGUGCCCCAAGCGCACUCAGCCCUGCACCUACUGCACUAAGGAGUUCGUCUUUGACACCAUCCAGAGCCACCAGUACCAGUGCCCAAGGCUGCCUGUUGCCUGCCCCAACCAAUGUGGUGUGGGCACUGUGGCUCGGGAGGACCUGCCAGGCCAUCUGAAGGACAGCUGUAACACCGCCCUGGUGCUCUGCCCAUUCAAAGACUCCGGCUGCAAGCACAGGUGCCCUAAGCUGGCAAUGGCACGGCAUGUGGAGGAGAGUGUGAAGCCACAUCUGGCCAUGAUGUGUGCCCUGGUGAGCCGGCAACGGCAG
Molecule: small RNA, 857 nt
Filed under: Pan troglodytes (chimpanzee)
Lineage: Eukaryota; Metazoa; Chordata; Mammalia; Primates; Hominidae
Description: retained intron
Source: RNAcentral